This is a small nucleolar RNA of Tachyglossus aculeatus (Australian echidna), 138 nucleotides long. Lineage: Eukaryota; Metazoa; Chordata; Mammalia; Monotremata; Tachyglossidae. The record is from RefSeq and is a predicted model, not a curated record.
CCCCUCUCAUGGUUGCACCUGGAGAGUUUCCAGUAAUUUACCAGCCUCGAAUAUGAGAGGGAGAGUCAAGCAGUGGCAUAUUCAUUCCAUUCCUAGCUUGGGCAGUGGCUAGUGAGUGGAAGGCAAUCUGGCACAAGU